GAGCUUGCCUGCCAAGACUGGUGCUUCUGCAAAGUGGCCUCUUGGUUUGAGCAUGCCCAGCCCUCUGGCCAAGACCCCUGAGGAAGAGGUUCUGUGUGCUUUGCAGAGCUUGGAGAUGCUGGAAACUGCUCCUUCUGGUGGCCAGCCUGGAUACCCAGCCUAUUGGAGGCACCCCAAACUCCCUGAAGUAGGGACCCUGCUGUCAGCACCUAUGACUACCACUGUCAUCCUGAAGACCAGCACUGGGGGCUUUGAGGGACCCUGGACUCAGUACUUUGUAUUCAGAAAAAAAAAAUUCCAAGAAUCAGACUGGGCCUGGGUGACACAGGGAUGGUGGCCAAGGAACCUUCCAGGACUGUUCCCUCAAGUAGGCAUGGGUCACCCAAAGAGUGAGAGAGAGAGGAGCAAACUAAAAAAAGUACAUACCCACCA
Molecule: long non-coding RNA, 432 nt
Filed under: Cricetulus griseus (Chinese hamster)
Lineage: Eukaryota; Metazoa; Chordata; Mammalia; Rodentia; Cricetidae
Description: lncRNA (ENSCGRG00015043253.1)
Source: RNAcentral